RNAcentral lists this ribosomal RNA (468 nucleotides) under uncultured bacterium. Its description in RNAcentral is "partial 16S ribosomal RNA". It matches the Rfam family "Bacterial small subunit ribosomal RNA", at positions 28 to 507 of the family's 1533-position model. The record is from RNAcentral.
GACGAACGCUGGCGGCGUGCUUAACACAUGCAAGUCGAACGGAAAGGCCCUGCUUUUGUGGUGUGCUCGAGUGGCUAACGGGUGAGUAACACGUGAGUAACCUGCCCUUGACUUUGUUAUAACUUCAGGAAACUGGGGCUAAUACCGGAUAGGAGCUCCUGCUGCAUGGUGGGGGUUGGAAAGUUUCGGCGGUUGGGGAUGGACUCGCGGCUUAUCAGCUUGUUGGUGGGGUAGUGGCUUACCAAGGCUUUGACGGGUAGCCGGCCUGAGAGGGUGACAGGCAAAAUUGGGACUGAGAUAGGGGCCAGACGCAGACGGGAGGCAGCAGUGGGGAAUAGUGAAAAGUGGGCGGAAGCCGGAAGCAGCAACGCCGCGUGCGGGGUAAAGGCCUUCGGGUUGUAAACCGCUUUCGCCUGUGACGAAGCGGGAGUGACGGUAAUGGGUAAAGAAGCACCGGCUAACUACGUG